Molecule: ribosomal RNA, 355 nt
Filed under: Panulirus cygnus (western rock lobster)
Lineage: Eukaryota; Metazoa; Arthropoda; Malacostraca; Decapoda; Palinuridae
Description: partial 12S ribosomal RNA
Source: RNAcentral
UAAUUUGUUUGAAAUUCAAAGAAUCUGGCGGUACUUUAGUCUAGUUAGAGGAACCUGUUAUAUAAACGAUAAACCACGUAGAAUCUUUCUUGUUCUUGUAUAGCCAGUAUACCUUCAUUGUUAGAUAAUUUUAUAUAUGAAUUAUUGAAAUCGAGAAAAUCAAGUAUAUUAGAUCAAGGUGCUGCUAAUGAGCAAGUAUAAAUGGGUUACAAUAUUUUAAAAGAGGCUGAUUAUAGUGAGAAUUCACUAUGUGAGGAUGGAUUUAAUUGUAAGUUUAAAUUUAGUAAGGUAAAGUGAUAAUAGCUCUAAAGUGUGUACAUAUUGCCCGUCGCUUUCAUUAAAUCAGAUGAGAUAA